This 426-nucleotide ribosomal RNA is filed under the name uncultured prokaryote. RNAcentral's name for it is "bacterial SSU rRNA". It matches the Rfam family "Bacterial small subunit ribosomal RNA", at positions 355 to 796 of the family's 1533-position model. The record is from RNAcentral.
UGGGGAAUUUUCCGCAAUGGGGGCAACCCUGACGGAGCAACGCCGCGUGCGGGAGGAAGGCCUUUGGGUUGUAAACCGCUUUUCUCAGGGAAGAAGCUCUGACGGUACCUGAGGAAUCAGCCUCGGCUAACUCUGUGCCAGCAGCCGCGGUAAUACAGAGGGGGCAAGCGUUGUCCGGACUUACUGGGCGUAAAGCGCACGCAGGUGGUAACGCAAGUGGGGUGUGAAAGCCGCCAGCUCAACUGGCGGAGGCCAACCCAAACUGCGUCACUUGAGGCCUGUAGAGGUAUGUGGAAUUGCCGGUGUAGUGGUGAAAUGCGUAGAGAUCGGCAGGAACACCCGGGGGGAAGCCAGCAUACUGGACAGGUCCUGACACUCAGGUGCGACAGCGUGGGGAGCGAACCGGAUUAGAUACCCCCGUAGUCC